GUUAGGAAUAUUGGACAAUGGGCGAAAGCCUGAUCCAGCCAUGCCGCGUGAACGAUGAAGGCCUUCGGGUUGUAAAGUUCUUUAGCCGAUGAUUAUAAUGACUGUAGUCGGAAAAUAAGCCCCGGCUAACUUCGUGCCAGCAGCCGCGGUAAUACGAAGGGGGCGAGCGUUAUUCGGAAUCACUGGGCGUAAAGCGUGCGUAGGCGGUUUUGUAAGUUAGGAGUGAAAGCCCAGGGCUCAACCUUGGAAUUGCUCUUAAAACUGCAAGGCUCGAAUCUCGGAGAGGAUAGCGGAAUUUCCAGUGUAGCAGUGAAAUGCGUAGAUAUUGGAAGGAACACCAGUGGCGUAAGCGGCUAUCUGGACCGAUAUUGACGCUGAGGCACGAAAGCGUGGGGAUCAAACAGGAUUAGAUACCCGUGUAGUCC
Molecule: ribosomal RNA, 425 nt
Filed under: uncultured bacterium
Lineage: Bacteria
Description: bacterial SSU rRNA
Rfam family: Bacterial small subunit ribosomal RNA
Source: RNAcentral